UGUCUGCCCUUGGGCUCCCUGCUUUGUGCAGCGAACCUUGGGCACCCGAUCCUCUUCAUUGUUGUCCGAGUUGGCUAGUAGCUCUCUCGGCGUGAGACGGUUCCCGUGUUGUGUACCCGGCAAACAAAGUGGAAGUUGCUAUCGUAAGCGUAAUUGUUUGCUCCAAACCGAGCUAGUAUCGGCGCGGGGCAACGUGAUCGUGGGUCUUGUGAAGCCAGCACUCGGCGUUCUCGUUGGGAGCAUGGUUAACGAUUCUCCAUGUGCUUUGGGAUGCGGUGAACAUGGUUGUGUCCGGGUUUUAGAACUCGGCCAAAAGCAUUAUAAAGAUUGACGGCUGGCCCAUGUCGUCCGUUCCCUGGCUUGCCAGUGGAAUGGCGGUGUGGUGCCGGCGUCGCAGAGGAAUGCUAC
RNAcentral lists this unclassified non-coding RNA (408 nucleotides) under Leptopyrum fumarioides. RNAcentral's name for it is "partial external transcribed spacer". The record is from RNAcentral. Lineage: Eukaryota; Viridiplantae; Streptophyta; Magnoliopsida; Ranunculales; Ranunculaceae.